AACGAACGCUGGCGGCAUGCCUAACACAUGCAAGUCGAACGAGAUCUUCGGGUCUAGUGGCGCACGGGUGCGUAACGCGUGGGAAUCUGCCCUUUGGUUCGGGAUCACAGAUGGAAACGACUGCUAAUACCGGAUGAUGACGAAAGUCCAAAGAUUUAUCGCCAGAGGAUGAGCCCGCGUAGGAUUAGCUAGGUGGUGUGGUAAAGGCGCACCAAGGCGACGAUCCUUAGCUGGUCUGAGAGGAUGAUCAGCCACACUGGGACUGAGACACGGCCCAGACUCCUACGGGAGGCAGCAGUGGGGAAUAUUGGACAAUGGGCGAAAGCCUGAUCCAGCAAUGCCGCGUGAGUGAUGAAGGCCUUAGGGUUGUAUAGCUCUUUUACCCGGGAUGAUAAUGACAGUACCGGGAGAAUAAGCUCCGGCUAACUCCGUGCCAGCCGCCGCAGUAA
This 449-nucleotide ribosomal RNA is filed under the name uncultured bacterium. RNAcentral describes it as "partial 16S ribosomal RNA". It matches the Rfam family "Bacterial small subunit ribosomal RNA", at positions 29 to 523 of the family's 1533-position model. The record is from RNAcentral.